GCCCGGGUGGUGGAAUUGGUAGACACAAGGGACUUAAAAUCCCUCGGGGGUAACUCCGUGCCGGUUCGAGUCCGGCCCCGGGCACCA
RNAcentral lists this transfer RNA (87 nucleotides) under Gammaproteobacteria bacterium. RNAcentral describes it as "tRNA-Leu". It matches the Rfam family "tRNA". From Rfam's summary of the family: Transfer RNA (tRNA) molecules are approximately 80 nucleotides in length. Their secondary structure includes four short double-helical elements and three loops (D, anti-codon, and T loops). Lineage: Bacteria; Pseudomonadati; Pseudomonadota; Gammaproteobacteria. The record is from RNAcentral.